CCUACGGGCGGCAGCAGUGGGGGAUAUUGCACAAUGGGGGGAACCCUGAUGCAGCGACGCCGCGUGGGUGAAGGAGUGCUUCGGCAUGUAAAGCCCUAUCGGCAGGGAAGAAGCUAGACGGUACCUGACUAUGAAGCCCCGGCUAACUACGUGCCAGCAGCCGCGGUAAUACGUAGGGGGCGAGCGUUAUCCGGAUCCACUGGGGGGAAAGGGAGCGUAGACGGGCAAGCAAGCCAGGGGGGAAAGCCCGGGGCCCAACCCCGGGACUGCCCUUGGAACUGCAUGGCUGGAGUGCGGGAGGGGCAGGCGGAAUUCCUGGUGUAGCGGUGAAAUGCGUAGAUAUCAGGAGGAACACCGGCGGCGAAGGCGGCCUACUGGACCGCGACUGACGUUGAGGCUCGAAAGCGUGGGGAGCGAACAGGAUUAGAUACCCGAGUAGUC
Molecule: ribosomal RNA, 441 nt
Filed under: uncultured bacterium
Lineage: Bacteria
Description: partial 16S ribosomal RNA
Rfam family: Bacterial small subunit ribosomal RNA
Source: RNAcentral